This 90-nucleotide transfer RNA is filed under the name Candidatus Shikimatogenerans bostrichidophilus. Its description in RNAcentral is "tRNA-Ser". It matches the Rfam family "tRNA". From Rfam's summary of the family: Transfer RNA (tRNA) molecules are approximately 80 nucleotides in length. Their secondary structure includes four short double-helical elements and three loops (D, anti-codon, and T loops). Lineage: Bacteria; Pseudomonadati; Bacteroidota; Flavobacteriia; Flavobacteriales. The record is from RNAcentral.
GGAGAGAUGGCAGAGUGGAUUAUUGCAACGGUCUUGAAAACCGUAGAAGAAUUUUUAAUUCUUCCGGGGGUUCGAAUCCCUCUCUCUCCG